AUAUAUCUUUAUAAAAAAAUAUUUUAUGAAUUUCCUAGAAAAUAAUAUUGGUUGCACAAUUUCUUAAAAUAUUUUACACUUUUUUAACAAAACAAAAAAAGACACUUGCGAGUCAAAUUUAAGUUUAGGAUACAAAAUUUAUUGAAACGCAUAAACAGAAACAAAGUGAUUUAACUCCUAAAUGACAGAGAAUUGAGCAGUGAAAUUGCAGGGGAAUGAUCUAUACACUAAAACUGCUUUAUUUAGCUAAAGUAAUUUAGGUGACUAUAGUGUUCCUUUAAUUGCCUUUUUGUGCUGUUGUUGACUGAAAGGUUCCAUGAAAUGUUCAAAUACAUUUUUAAAUUAGAUUAAUUUUAUAAAUAUAUAUGGGUAUUCAUUAUUAUUUUAUUUAUUACAGUGUGCUUCUUAUUUAUUGCGUUAGUUGUGUAGUCUGUGUCUCUUUUAAUUAUGAAUUAAUCCUAAAUUCUAAUUUACAAACAUUUGUCUUUGAAACCAAAAUCGUUCAUAUUUUUAAAUUGCUUUCUGUGCUGUGAGUGGGUUAAGAAUAAAUGUGACUUUGCAAAAAUCUUGAGUGAUGGUUCAGAAUUUUAUCACAUGACAGGAGGCUUCAUAUUUUGCAUAACUUUCUUUACUUUAUGCCUCCAGCAGCACAAGUCAAUCAGAAAAAACUUUAAACCAAUCAGUAACAGGCAUCACAUCCAUAUAUAAAGCCCUGACAGACACAUGACUUCCUCUUUCUUUGCUGCUUCCAGCCAAGGCACAGGUCAGAGUAUUUUGCUCCAAACUGUUUUACUGAUAUUGCAAAUUGUCAUUAGUUAAUCAUUUAUUGCUUAACAUUCAGUUUGCUCCAAACUGUUAUUUUAUUAAUAUUGCUAUGGUCACUGUAGUUAGACACCUUAUGCUAGACAUUCAGUUUUAAUCCAAACUGGUUUUCUGGAUAUUGCAAUGGUCACUUUAAUUAAACUUUAUUAUUUGACUUUCAGAUUGCUCCAACUGUUUUUAUUAAUAUUGCUAUGGUCACUUUAGUUAGAUUUUUAAUGCUAGAUAUUCAGUUUUGCUCCAAACUGUUUCUGGAUAUGCAUGGCCACUUUAGUUAAACUUUAUUAGCUUGUCCUGCAAUUUUGACCUAAAUGGUUUUCAUUAUUUUGCACUUGCCUUCCAUUUGGACUUGUAUUGUGUGAUAUUCUCCCCCUGUUACCCUUCCCCCGAAUUAACCCUGUAUUUUCUGCUUUAUUAGCCUGUUUGGUUUUCUGUUGCUGGCACCUUUUCUUUCCUAUGCUUUACUCUGGUCUCGCACGGAUCACUGUGUUUUACCGCGAUCGGGUUUUGUU
Molecule: non-coding RNA, 1331 nt
Organism: Pelobates cultripes (western spadefoot toad)
Lineage: Eukaryota; Metazoa; Chordata; Amphibia; Anura; Pelobatidae
Source: the annotation of a GenBank genome assembly